Molecule: ribosomal RNA, 440 nt
Filed under: uncultured bacterium
Lineage: Bacteria
Description: partial 16S ribosomal RNA
Rfam family: Bacterial small subunit ribosomal RNA
Source: RNAcentral
CCUACGGGAGGCAGCAGUAGGGAAUAUUGCGCAAUGGGGGAAACCCUGAAGCAGCAACGCCGCGUGAAGGAUGAAGGUUUUCGGAUGGUAAGCUCCUUUUGUUAGAGAAGAUAAUGACGGUAUCUAACGAAUAAGCACCGGCUAACUCCGUGCCAGCAGCCGCGGUAAUACGGAGGGUGCAAGCGUUACUCGGAAUCACUGGGCGUAAAGAGCGCGUAGGCGGGAUAGCAAGUCAGAUGUGAAAUCCUAUGGCUUAACCAUAGAACUGCAUUUGAAACUGUUAUUCUAGAGUAUGGGAGAGGUAGGUGGAAUUCUUGGUGUAGGGGUAAAAUCCGUAGAGAUCAAGAGGAAUACUGAUUGCGAAGGCGAUCUGCUAGAACAUAACUGACGCUGAUGCGCGAAAGCGUGGGGAGCAAACAGGAUUAGAUACCCUUGUAGUC